RNAcentral lists this ribosomal RNA (254 nucleotides) under uncultured prokaryote. RNAcentral describes it as "partial 16S ribosomal RNA". It matches the Rfam family "Bacterial small subunit ribosomal RNA", at positions 523 to 776 of the family's 1533-position model. The record is from RNAcentral.
ACACGUAGGGUGCGAGCGUUGUCCGGAAUUAUUGGGCGUAAAGGGCUCGUAGGCGGUUUGUCGCGUCGGGAGUGAUAACACCGGGCUUAACUCGGUGCUUGCUUUCGAUACGGGCAGACUAGAGGCAUGCAGGGGAGAACGGAAUUCCUGGUGUAGCGGUGAAAUGCGCAGAUAUCAGGAGGAACACCGGUGGCGAAGGCGGUUCUCUGGGCAUGUCCUGACGCUGAGGAGCGAAAGCAUGGGGAGCGAACAGG